Molecule: long non-coding RNA, 799 nt
Filed under: Vulpes vulpes (red fox)
Lineage: Eukaryota; Metazoa; Chordata; Mammalia; Carnivora; Canidae
Description: lncRNA (ENSVVUG00000020849.1)
Source: RNAcentral
AUCCUAAUCAAGUUACUAACCCUUUCCAUCCUCACCUGUAAAAUGGGAGCAAUUCACAUACUCACUUACUUAUUUGGAAAUAUUCACCGAGAUCCUAGGAUGAGGUGGAUGCUGCUCUAUUCAUGAGGACUACAUCAGUGAACUAGACAGGAAAACAUCUACCUUCACAAAGCAUCCAUUCUCAUGGGUUUCAAAGAGAACAGAGACAAGCCCGUGCCCUGAAGCACGUCAGUGCUACCAGAGGAUCAAUACAAGUCAUUAUCCAGGGGAUAAAAACAAGCAAGUGGCAGAGUCAGGCCUGCACGGAGUCUCCAGACACCAGACACAAUUUUCUUCCUACCCCUCUGCCAGGCAGUCAACGAUGCUAUAUUCAUGACCUAACUUCCACAUCUUGCCAGCAUGUUCCAUGUGUAAUCCAGAGCUGUCUACCUAGGAUCACUGAAAAAGAAAAUUAUCCGAUGGAAGAGCCAUGAAGAGGAUACACACUGGCCAAUUGAACUAAAAAUAUCAACUAAACUGUUAACACCUACAGAGUAUAGUGUGAACACUGAAUUUUCAAAUCUGUUAAAUAAUGCAAUGCCUGAUACAUACUGAAUAUCCAUUUAAGUAUGUGCAUUUGUAGAUGUCUUAGCUGAGUCACCAGUAGAUUUAAGGGUGUUUUUAAAGUUACUGAACAAAUAUCCCAUCCCACAGUGGCAAUGACCAAAUAAGUGCAUAUAUAUAUAUUCUGAUUGUGAUCAUUGAAUGUAUCAAAAUAUAAUUAUUUUCCAACUUCGAUAUGAGUUUUCUUGAACAGCAG